Molecule: transfer RNA, 74 nt
Filed under: bacterium
Lineage: Bacteria
Description: tRNA-Gln
Rfam family: tRNA
About the family: Transfer RNA (tRNA) molecules are approximately 80 nucleotides in length. Their secondary structure includes four short double-helical elements and three loops (D, anti-codon, and T loops).
Source: RNAcentral
UGGGGAGUAGCCAAGUGGCAAGGCAACGGGCUCUGAACCCGUCAUCGGGGGUUCGAAUCCCUCCUCCCCAGCCA